Pelodiscus sinensis (Chinese soft-shelled turtle) is the source of this 89-nucleotide long non-coding RNA. It matches the Rfam family "Deleted in lymphocytic leukemia 2 conserved region 5". The record is from Rfam. NCBI's taxonomy places the organism in Eukaryota, Metazoa, Chordata, Testudines, Trionychidae.
UUCAUGUUUCAUCAGCCUUCUAGAUUGAAAAAUUCUAUCACAGAAGUAAGUUGUUCUCCAGAAUCAGCUCUCUAUUGAAAGGUCAAAAC